AUCGGCUGCACGUGCUGUGCCUUCAGAGAGGUGCCGCCGGCCGGCUGGCCGCCCUCAACUCUUCGGACCAGAGCACCAGCGACGGCAGCUACGUUGACAGCGAGGACAGCACACAGAGGUCACCAGCUGGAGAGAUGCUCAGCGACUAUUUGAGUCCUGCAGGCGAGGACGUCAAGCAUAUGCCACCGCCCGAUGCAACACUGAUGGAUAAUGAGUGGCCGAUACUCAAGCCAUGCGGCACGCUGUCUUAAUAGCACACUGAGCGUUUCACGCUGCCAGGAUUGUUAGUGCGACGACUCCAGCAACCCCGGACUAAUAUUUCAAGAAACACAUCUGCCGGUGCGCACGCCACCGUACCCAUGGGAAAGAGCGCCCACCCGCCGCCACUGCGGAGCACCAUCCCAGCUGACUGCUGGUGGGCUUCAGAGAACAGGGUGAUAGUGUGGCGGAUGUCAGAGAACGGAGUGAUGGUGCGACGGUUCUCAGAGAACGGAGUGAUGGUGCGGCGGUUCUCAGAGAGCGGAGUGAUGGUGUGGCGGUUCUCAGAGAAAGGAGUGAUGGUGUAACUGUUCUCAGAGAACGGAGUGAUGGUGUGACGAUUCUCAGAGAACGGAGUGAUGGUGUGGCGGUUCUCAGAGAACGGAGUGAUGGUGUGGCGGUUCUCAGAAAACGGAGUGAUGGUGUGACUGCUUUCAGA
Molecule: long non-coding RNA, 697 nt
Organism: Pollicipes pollicipes
Lineage: Eukaryota; Metazoa; Arthropoda; Thecostraca; Pollicipedomorpha; Pollicipedidae
Exons: 3
Source: RefSeq, a predicted model, not a curated record